UACGGAGGGUGCAAGCGUUAUCCGGAUUCACUGGGUUUAAAGGGUGCGUAGGCGGGUAUAUAAGUCAGUGGUGAAAGCUCCGGGCUUAACUUGGAAACUGCCAUUGAUACUGUAUAUCUUGGAUGUCGUUGAGGUUAGCGGAAUGUUGCAUGUAGCGGUGAAAUGCUUAGAUAUGUUACAGAACACCAAUUGUGAAGACAGCUAACUAAGCGAUGAUUGACGCUGAGGCACGAAAGCGUGGGGAGCAAACAGG
Molecule: ribosomal RNA, 253 nt
Filed under: uncultured bacterium
Lineage: Bacteria
Description: partial 16S ribosomal RNA
Rfam family: Bacterial small subunit ribosomal RNA
Source: RNAcentral